GAUCCUGGCUCAGAUUGAACGCUGGCGGCAGGCUUAACACAUGCAAGUCGAACGGUAACAUAAAGAAGCUUGCUUCUUUGAUGACGAGUGGCGGACGGGUGAGUAAUGCUUGGGAAUCUAGCUUAUGGAGGGGGAUAACUACGGGAAACUGUAGCUAAUACCGCGUAAUAUCGAAAGAUUAAAGUGUGGGACCUCGGCGCACUGCCACUAGGAGUGAGCCACGAGGAGUAGUAGUGUGU
This 239-nucleotide ribosomal RNA is filed under the name uncultured bacterium. RNAcentral's name for it is "partial 16S ribosomal RNA". It matches the Rfam family "Bacterial small subunit ribosomal RNA", at positions 15 to 249 of the family's 1533-position model. The record is from RNAcentral.